GGGUGUGUAGCUCAGUGGUAGAGCACUUCACUGAUAAUGAAGAGGCCGAAGGUUCGAUCCCUUCCACACCCACCA
This 75-nucleotide transfer RNA is filed under the name Candidatus Azambacteria bacterium RIFCSPHIGHO2_02_FULL_52_12. RNAcentral's name for it is "tRNA-Ile". It matches the Rfam family "tRNA". From Rfam's summary of the family: Transfer RNA (tRNA) molecules are approximately 80 nucleotides in length. Their secondary structure includes four short double-helical elements and three loops (D, anti-codon, and T loops). Further hydrogen bonds mediate the characteristic L-shaped molecular structure. tRNAs have two regions of fundamental functional importance: the anti-codon, which is responsible for specific mRNA codon recognition, and the 3' end, to which the tRNAs corresponding amino acid is attached (by aminoacyl-tRNA synthetases). tRNAs cope with the degeneracy of the genetic code in two manners: having more than one tRNA (with a specific anti-codon) for a particular amino acid; and 'wobble' base-pairing, i.e. permitting non-standard base-pairing at the 3rd anti-codon position. RNAcentral also lists the same sequence under 1 other name. Lineage: Bacteria; Candidatus Azamiibacteriota. The record is from RNAcentral.